UGGGAGGCCCUCAAGAAAAGACUUAACUCUUGGGCAGUUCUCCACGCUUCUCUAGGUUGUGGAACCUCAUCUCUCCAGCUGUGAAUGGCAAGCUCCAUGAGACGCGUUUCCAUUGGAGGCAACUUCACAGAGAGGCGCAGUCAGUUACCCAAGUUCACACAGCCGUGUCCAGCAGACGCGGGGGUCCCACGUCCGCAGGGCUCUCUCCAGAGGAGGUGUUGGCGCACACAAGAACACACCCUGCCCCCUCCUCCGUGACCUCCAGCGGCACCUGGGAGCCCUGGGGGAGCAGAACACCUCAGCAGAUUGCUUAUCGGAAGUCCAGAGCCUAGAGCAAAGCCCGGAGGAGCAGAAAACAGAACUGGGAACCACCAUGCUGACUUCUAUGGCAAUCAUUUCCUAGCUUCCUGUGAUCCUUUUCAGCCUGAGCAGACUUCCUAUUGGAGGAGGUAGUCAAGAGAACAUGACCAUUGGUUGACCCUUGAGCUAG
Long non-coding RNA from Lutra lutra (Eurasian river otter), 490 nucleotides. RefSeq lists it as uncharacterized. The record is from RefSeq and is a predicted model, not a curated record. The transcript has 3 exons. NCBI's taxonomy places the organism in Eukaryota, Metazoa, Chordata, Mammalia, Carnivora, Mustelidae.